RNAcentral lists this ribosomal RNA (253 nucleotides) under uncultured bacterium. Its description in RNAcentral is "partial 16S ribosomal RNA". It matches the Rfam family "Bacterial small subunit ribosomal RNA", at positions 524 to 776 of the family's 1533-position model. The record is from RNAcentral.
UACGUAGGGGGCAAGCGUUGUCCGGAUUUAUUGGGCGUAAAGAGCGUGUAGGCGGCCAGGUAGGUCUGCUGUGAAAACUCGAGGCUUAACCUCGAGCUGUCGGCGGAAACCAUCUGGCUAGAGUCCGGAAGAGGAGAAUGGAAUUCCCGGUGUAGCGGUGAAAUGCGUAGAUAUCGUAAGGAAGACCAGUGGCGAAGGCGGGUCUCUGGACAGUUCCUGACGCUGAGGCACGAAGGUCAGGGGAGCAAACGGG